UGCUAGUCGCGCGGGUUAGACCCGCGGCAUACAGCUCAGUAGCACGUGGCCAAACUACCCUGUGGAUAGGGACAAUCUCGGGAAACUGAGGCUAAUCCCUGAUAGAGCUCCCAUCCUGGAAUGGAGGGAGCUCGAAACGCUUCGGCGCCACAGGAUGCGGCUGCGGCCGAUUAGGUAGAUGGUGGGGUAACGGCCCACCAUGCCGAUAAUCGGUACAGGUCGUGAGAGCGAGAGCCUGGAGACGGUAUCUGAGACAAGAUACCGGGCCCUACGGGGCGCAGCAGGCGCGAAACCUUUACACUGCACGAGAGUGCGAUAGGGGGACACCGAGUGCGCAGGCAUAGAGCCUGCGCUUUUCUACACCCUAAGGUGGUGUAGGAAUAAGGGCUGGGCAAGACCGGUGCCAGCCGCCGCGGUAACACCGGCAGCCCAAGUGAUGGCCGAUUUUAUUGGGCCUAAAGGGUCCGUAGCCGGCCCUGCAAGUCCGUUGGGAAAUCUGCUCGCUUAACGAGCAGGCGUCCAGCGGAUACUGUAGGGCUUGGGACCAGGAGACUUGAGGGGUACGUCCGGGGUAGGAGUGAAAUCCUGUAAUCCUGGACGGACCACCGAUGGCGAAAGCACCUCAAGAGACUGGAUCCGACGGUGAGGGACGAAAGCUAGGGUCUCGAACCGGAUUAGAUACCCGGGUAGUCCUAGCUGUAAACGAUGCCUGUUA
This 715-nucleotide ribosomal RNA is filed under the name uncultured archaeon. Its description in RNAcentral is "bacterial SSU rRNA". It matches the Rfam family "Archaeal small subunit ribosomal RNA", at positions 52 to 769 of the family's 1478-position model. The record is from RNAcentral.